Phrynosoma platyrhinos (Desert horned lizard) is the source of this 69-nucleotide non-coding RNA. NCBI's taxonomy places the organism in Eukaryota, Metazoa, Chordata, Lepidosauria, Squamata, Phrynosomatidae. The record is from the annotation of a GenBank genome assembly.
GCAUGGUGGUAGUGGUUUGAGCAUUGGACUGUGACUCUGGAGACCAGGGUUCGAAUCCUUGCUCAGGCA